Molecule: ribosomal RNA, 400 nt
Filed under: uncultured bacterium
Lineage: Bacteria
Description: bacterial SSU rRNA
Rfam family: Bacterial small subunit ribosomal RNA
Source: RNAcentral
UGGGGAAUAUUGGACAAUGGGGGCAACCCUGAUCCAGCAAUGCCGCGUGUGUGAAGAAGGCCUGAGGGUUGUAAAGCACUUUCGUUGGGGAGGAAAGGCUCGAUGCUAAUAUCAUCGAGAGAUGACGCUACCCAAAUAAGAAGCACCGGCUAACUCUGUGCCAGCAGCCGCGGUAAUACAGAGGGUGCGAGCGUUAAUCGGAAUUACUGGGCGUAAAGCGCGCGUAGGUUGGUAGAUGUGUUGACUGUGAAAUCCCCGAGCUCAACUUGGGGCGGUCAGUCAAAACUGUCUAUCUAGAGUAUGGUAGAGGAAAGUGGAAUUUCAGGUGUAGCGGUGAAAUGCGUAGAUAUCUGAAGGAACACCAGUGGCGAAGGCGACUUUCUGGACCAAUACUGACACU